UAUUGGACAAUGGGGGCAACCCUGAUCCAGCCAUGCCGCGUGUGUGAAGAAGGCUUUCGGGUUGUAAAGCACUUUCAGUGGGGAGGAAGGCCUUGAGGCGAAUAGUCUUGAGGAUUGACGUUACCCACAGAAGAAGCACCGGCUAACUCCGUGCCAGCAGCCGCGGUAAUACGGAGGGUGCGAGCGUUAAUCGGAAUUACUGGGCGUAAAGCGCGCGUAGGCGGUUUAUUAAGUCGGAUGUGAAAGCCCCGGGCUUAACCUGGGAAUUGCAUCCGAGACUGGUAGGCUAGAGUGCAGUAGAGGGGUGUGGAAUUCCCGGUGUAGCGGUGAAAUGCGUAGAUAUCGGGAGGAACAUCAGUGGCGAAGGCGGCACCCUGGACUGACACUGACGCUGAGGUGCGAAAGCGUGGGGAGCAAACAGG
This 422-nucleotide ribosomal RNA is filed under the name uncultured bacterium. RNAcentral describes it as "bacterial SSU rRNA". It matches the Rfam family "Bacterial small subunit ribosomal RNA", at positions 362 to 776 of the family's 1533-position model. The record is from RNAcentral.